Long non-coding RNA from Argentina anserina (silverweed cinquefoil), 477 nucleotides. RefSeq lists it as uncharacterized. Lineage: Eukaryota; Viridiplantae; Streptophyta; Magnoliopsida; Rosales; Rosaceae. The transcript is spliced from 2 exons. The record is from RefSeq and is a predicted model, not a curated record.
UGGAUUUGGUGGAGGUGCUGGUGGUUGGAGUAGCGGUGGUGCUGGUGGUGGUGGUGGUUUGGGAAGUGGUAAUUUUGGUGGUGGUUUUGGUGGCAGUGCUGGGGGUGGUUUUGGUGCCGGUGCCGGUGGUUUGGGAAGCAGUGGCGGAGGUAGUGGUGGAUGAGGCAGCAGUCAUAGUGGUGGUGUGGGUGGUGUGUAACAUUUGAACCGUCACUGGUUGAGAUAAAUUUUGAUGGUGUUGCAUUGUCGAUUUACAUGCUUUGAAGUAAGAAAAAAGAAGUGCUGAUUUCAUAGGUUGCUGGUUGCAACAAGCUUUCGUGGGGAUUUUUCUCUGCAAGAAAAAAUAAAAAGGAUAAUGAAAUAAUGUAUAAAAUCACUCUUUCGAGGCCUGAAGGAGUAGGAGUCUUUGUUCAAUUAACGUGAUACUUCAUCUAUGAACUUUGGAAAUAAAUAGGAGGAGACCAUCAAUUUUAAUCA